CCUACGGGGGCAGCAGUGGGGAAUAUUGGACAAUGGGCGAAAGCCUGAUCCAGCCAUGCCGCGUGUGUGAAGAAGGCCUUCGGGUUGUAAAGCACUUUCAGUGGGGAAGAAAGCCUUGGGGCUAAUACCCUCGAGGAAGGACAUCACCCACAGAAGAAGCACCGGCUAACUCCGUGCCAGCAGCCGCGGUAAUACGGAGGGUGCGAGCGUUAAUCGGAAUUACUGGGCGUAAAGCGCGCGUAGGCGGUCUGAUAAGCCGGUUGUGAAAGCCCCGGGCUCAACCUGGGAACGGCAUCCGGAACUGUCAGGCUAGAGUGCAGGAGAGGAAGGUAGAAUUCCCGGUGUAGCGGUGAAAUGCGUAGAGAUCGGGAGGAAUACCAGUGGCGAAGGCGGCCUUCUGGACUGACACUGACGCUGAGGUGCGAAAGCGUGGGUAGCAAACAGGAUUAGUACCCCAGUAGUC
Molecule: ribosomal RNA, 463 nt
Filed under: Vreelandella stevensii
Lineage: Bacteria; Pseudomonadati; Pseudomonadota; Gammaproteobacteria; Oceanospirillales; Halomonadaceae
Description: partial 16S ribosomal RNA
Rfam family: Bacterial small subunit ribosomal RNA
Source: RNAcentral